AUAAUCAUGGAGUAUAAUAAUUAAAUUUAAUAAAUUUAAUAUAACUAUUAAUAGAAUUAGGUUACUAAUAAAUUAAUAACAAUUAAUUUUAAAACCUAAAGGUAAACCUUUAUAUUAAUAAUGUUUUUUUUUAUUAUUUUUAUAAUAAGAAUAAUUAUUAAUAAUAAUAAACUAAGUGAACUGAAACAUCUAAGUAACUUAAGGAUAAGAAAUCAACAGAGAUAUUAUGAGUAUUGGUGAGAGAAAAUAAUAAAGGUCUAAUAAGUAUUAUGUGAAAAAAAUGUAAGAAAAUAGGAUAACAAAUUCUAAGACUAAAUACUAUUAAUAAGUAUAGUAAGUACCGUAAGGGAAAGUAUGAAAAUGAUUAUUUUAUAAGCAAUCAUGAAUAUAUUAUAUUAUAUUAAUGAUGUACCUUUUGUAUAAUGGGUCAGCAAGUAAUUAAUAUUAGUAAAACAAUAAGUUAUAAAUAAAUAGAAUAAUAUAUAUAUAUAUAAAAAUAUAUUAAAAUAUUUAAUUAAUAUUAAUUGACCCGAAAGCAAACGAUCUAACUAUGAUAAGAUGGAUAAACGAUCGAACAGGUUGAUGUUGCAAUAUCAUCUGAUUAAUUGUGGUUAGUAGUGAAAGACAAAUCUGGUUUGCAGAUAGCUGGUUUUCUAUGAAAUAUAUGUAAGUAUAGCCUUUAUAAAUAAUAAUUAUUAUAUAAUAUUAUAUUAAUAUUAUAUAAAGAAUGGUACAGCAAUUAAUAUAUAUUAGGGAACUAUUAAAGUUUUAUUAAUAAUAUUAAAUCUCGAAAUAUUUAAUUAUAUAUAAUAAAGAGUCAGAUUAUGUGCGAUAAGGUAAAUAAUCUAAAGGGAAACAGCCCAGAUUAAGAUAUAAAGUUCCUAAUAAAUAAUAAGUGAAAUAAAUAUUAAAAUAUUAUAAUAUAAUCAGUUAAUGGGUUUGACAAUAACCAUUUUUUAAUGAACAUGUAACAAUGCACUGAUUUAUAAUAAAUAAAAAAAUAAUAUUUAAAAUCAAAUAUAUAUAUAUUUGUUAAUAGAUAAUAUACGGAUCUUAAUAAUAAGAAUUAUUUAAUUCCUAAUAUGGAAUAUUAUAUUUUUAUAAUAAAAAUAUAAAUACUGAAUAUCUAAAUAUUAUUAUUACUUUUUUUUUUAAUAAUAAUAAUAUGGUAAUAGAACAUUUAAUGAUAAUAUAUAUUAGUUAUUAAUUAAUAUAUGUAUUAAUUAAAUAGAGAAUGCUGACAUGAGUAACGAAAAAAAGGUAUAAACCUUUUCACCUAAAACAUAAGGUUUAACUAUAAAAGUACGGCCCCUAAUUAAAUUAAUAAGAAUAUAAAUAUAUUUAAGAUGGGAUAAUCUAUAUUAAUAAAAAUUUAUCUUAAAAUAUAUAUAUUAUUAAUAAUUAUAUUAAUAAUAUAUAUAAUUAUAUUAUAUAUUAUAUAUUUUUUUUUAUAUAAUAUAAACUAAUAAAGAUCAGGAAAUAAUUAAUGUAUACCGUAAUGUAGACCGACUCAGGUAUGUAAGUAGAGAAUAUGAAGGUGAAUUAGAUAAUUAAAGGGAAGGAACUCGGCAAAGAUAGCUCAUAAGUUAGUCAAUAAAGAGUAAUAAGAACAAAGUUGUACAACUGUUUACUAAAAACACCGCACUUUGCAGAAACGAUAAGUUUAAGUAUAAGGUGUGAACUCUGCUCCAUGCUUAAUAUAUAAAUAAAAUUAUUUAACGAUAAUUUUAUUAAAUUUAGGUAAAUAGCAGCCUUAUUAUGAGGGUUAUAAUGUAGCGAAAUUCCUUGGCCUAUAAUUGAGGUCCCGCAUGAAUGACGUAAUGAUACAACAACUGUCUCCCCUUUAAGCUAAGUGAAAUUGAAAUCGUAGUGAAGAUGCUAUGUACCUUCAGCAAGACGGAAAGACCCUAUGCAGCUUUACUGUAAUUAGAUAGAUCGAAUUAUUGUUUAUUAUAUUCAGCAUAUUAAGUAAUCCUAUUAUUAGGUAAUCGUUUAGAUAUUAAUGAGAUACUUAUUAUAAUAUAAUGAUAAUUCUAAUCUUAUAAAUAAUUAUUAUUAUUAUUAUUAAUAAUAAUAAUAUGCUUUCAAGCAUAGUGAUAAAACAUAUUUAUAUGAUAAUCACUUUACUUAAUAGAUAUAAUUCUUAAGUAAUAUAUAAUAUAUAUUAUAUAUAUAUUAUAUAUAAUAUAAGAGACAAUCUCUAAUUGGUAGUUUUGAUGGGGCGUCAUUAUCAGCAAAAGUAUCUGAAUAAGUCCAUAAAUAAAUAUAUAAAAUUAUUGAAUAAAAAAAAUAAUAUAUAUUAUAUAUAUUAAUUAUAAAUUGAAAUAUGUUUAUAUAAAUUUAUAUUUAUUGAAUAUAUUUUAGUAAUAGAUAAAAAUAUGUACAGUAAAAUUGUAAGGAAAACAAUAAUAACUUUCUCCUCUCUCGGUGGGGGUUCACACCUAUUUUUAAUAGGUGUUCACCCCUCUUCGGGGUUCCGGUUCCCUUUCGGGUCCCGGAACUUAAAAAUAAUUAUGGAAAGAAUUAAAUUAAUAUAAUGGUAUAACUGUGCGAUAAUUGUAACACAAACGAGUGAAACAAGUACGUAAGUAUGGCAUAAUGAACAAAUAACACUGAUUGUAAAGGUUAUUGAUAACGAAUAAAAGUUACGCUAGGGAUAACAGGGUAAUAUAACGAAAGAGUAGAUAUUGUAAGUUAUGUUUGCCACCUCGAUGUCGACUCAACAUUUCCUCUUGGUUGUAAAAGCUAAGAAGGGUUUGACUGUUCGUCAAUUAAAAUGUUACGUGAGUUGGGUUAAAUACGAUGUGAAUCAGUAUGGUUCCUAUCUGCUGAAGGAAAUAUUAUCAAAUUAAAUCUCAUUAUUAGUACGCAAGGACCAUAAUGAAUCAACCCAUGGUGUAUCUAUUGAUAAUAAUAUAAUAUAUUUAAUAAAAAUAAUACUUUAUUAAUAUAUUAUCUAUAUUAGUUUAUAUUUUAAUUAUAUAUUAUCAUAGUAGAUAAGCUAAGUUGAUAAUAAAUAAAUAUUGAAUACAUAUUAAAUAUGAAGUUGUUUUAAUAAGAUAAUUAAUCUGAUAAUUUUAUACUAAAAUUAAUAAUUAUAGGUUUUAUAUAUUAUUUAUAAAUAAAUAUAUUAUAAUAAUAAUAAUUAUUAUUAUUAAUAAAAAAUAU
This 3168-nucleotide ribosomal RNA is filed under the name Saccharomyces cerevisiae (brewer's yeast). It matches the Rfam family "Bacterial large subunit ribosomal RNA". Lineage: Eukaryota; Fungi; Ascomycota; Saccharomycetes; Saccharomycetales; Saccharomycetaceae. The record is from RNAcentral.